CUACGGGGCGCUGCAGUGAGGAAUAUUGCACAAUGGGGGGAACCCUGAUGCAGCAACGCCGCGUGGAGGAUGACGCAUUUCGGUGUGUAAACUCCUUUUAUAUGUCAAGAAAAUGACGGUAGCAUAUGAAUAAGCACCGGCUAACUCCGUGCCAGCAGCCGCGGUAAUACGGAGGGUGCAAGCGUUACUCGGAAUCACUGGGCGUAAAGGACGCGUAGGCGGGUUGGAAAGUCAGGUGUGAAAUCCUACAGCUUAACUGUAGAACUGCACUUGAAACUUCUAAUCGAGAGUAUGGGAGGGGUAGAUGGAAUUAGUGGUGUAGGGGUAAAAUCCGUAGGUAUCACUAGGAAUACCUAAAGCGAAGGCGAUCUCCUGGAACAUUACUGACGCUAAGGCGUGAAAGCGUGGGGAGCAAACAGGAUUAGAUACCCCCGUAGUC
RNAcentral lists this ribosomal RNA (439 nucleotides) under uncultured bacterium. RNAcentral describes it as "partial 16S ribosomal RNA". It matches the Rfam family "Bacterial small subunit ribosomal RNA", at positions 339 to 795 of the family's 1533-position model. The record is from RNAcentral.